RNAcentral lists this signal recognition particle RNA (170 nucleotides) under Triticum aestivum (bread wheat). RNAcentral describes it as "SRP RNA Plant_SRP". It matches the Rfam family "Plant signal recognition particle RNA", at positions 87 to 256 of the family's 305-position model. Lineage: Eukaryota; Viridiplantae; Streptophyta; Magnoliopsida; Poales; Poaceae. The record is from Rfam by way of RNAcentral.
UAGUGCUCCUGCUGGCCCGCCCGUUCCAAGUUGGUAGUGGACCGCUGGGGCCCUGUGCGAAAGCUGGGCCUCACGGGCCGUAAUGUUGGCAGGCACAGCGUUAGGCUGGCUUCACAGAGCAGCGAGAACUGCCCGCUUCCAACGGUGGAAGGAUAACGGGCCGCUGCACA